This 442-nucleotide ribosomal RNA is filed under the name uncultured bacterium. RNAcentral's name for it is "partial 16S ribosomal RNA". It matches the Rfam family "Bacterial small subunit ribosomal RNA", at positions 339 to 795 of the family's 1533-position model. The record is from RNAcentral.
CUACGGGUGGCUGCAGUAGAGAAUCUUCCGCAAUGGACGAAAGUCUGACGGAGCGACACCGCGUGAAGGAUGAAGGCCUUAGGGUUGUAAACUUCUUUUCUGGGGGAAGAAAAUCUGACGGUACCCCAGGAAUAAGGUCCGGCUAAUUACGUGCCAGCAGCCGCGGUGAAUACGUAAGGGCCAAACGUUAUCCGGAAUUAUUGGGCGUAAAGCGUCCGCAGGUGGCAUAAUAAGUCUGUCAUAAAAUACCAGCGCUCAACGUUGGUGCCGUGGUGGAAACUAUUAUGCUUGAGGAUGGGAGAGGUAUAUGGAAUUGUGCAAGUAGGGGUAAAAUCCGUAGAUAUGCACAGGAACACCAAAAGCGAAGGCAGUAUACUGGACCAUUCCUGACACUCAGGGACGAAAGCGUGGGUAGCAAAAGGGAUUAGAUACCCCAGUAGUC